AGUGGCGGACGGGUGAGUAACGCGUGAGAAUCUGCCUUGGGGUCGGGGACAACCACUGGAAACGGUGGCUAAUACCGGAUAAGCCGAUUGGUGAAAGAUUUAUUGCCCGAAGAGGAGCUCGCGUCCGAUUAGCUAGUUGGUGAGGUAAGAGCUCACCAAGGCAGCGAUCAGUAGCUGGUCUGAGAGGACGAUCAGCCACACUGGGACUGAGACACGGCCCAGACUCCUACGGGAGGCAGCAGUGGGGAAUUUUCCGCAAUGGGCGAAAGCCUGACGGAGCAAGACCGCGUGAGGGAGGAAGGCUCUUGGGUUGUAAACCUCUUUUCUCAGGGAAGAAGCUCUGACGGUACCUGAGGAAUCAGCCUCGGCUAACUCCGUGCCAGCAGCCGCGGUAAUACGGAGGAGGCAAGCGUUAUCCGGAAUUAUUGGGCGUAAAGCGUCCGCAGGUGGCGAUUCAAGUCUGCUGUCAAAGCACGGGGCUUAACUCCGUAAAGGCAGUGGAAACUGAAUAGCUAGAGUGCCGUAGGGGUAGAGGGAAUUCCCGGUGUAGCGGUGAAAUGAGUAGAGAUCGGGAAGAACAUCGGUGGCGAAAGCGCUCUACUGGACGGCAACUGACACUCAGGGACGAAAGCUAGGGGAGCGAAUGGGAUUAGAUACCCC
Molecule: ribosomal RNA, 660 nt
Filed under: uncultured bacterium
Lineage: Bacteria
Description: bacterial SSU rRNA
Rfam family: Bacterial small subunit ribosomal RNA
Source: RNAcentral